UACGUAGGGUGCAAGCGUUUGUCCGGAAUUAUUGGGCGUAAAGAGCUCGUAGGCGGUCUGUCGCGUCUGCUGUGAAAACUCAGGGCUUAACCCUGAGCUUGCAGUGGGUACGGGCAGACUAGAGUGCGGUAGGGGAGACUGGAAUUCCUGGUGUAGCGGUGAAAUGCGCAGAUAUCAGGAGGAACACCGGUGGCGAAGGCGGGGUCUCUGGGCCGUAACUGACGCUGGAGGAGCGAAAGCCGUGGGG
RNAcentral lists this ribosomal RNA (247 nucleotides) under uncultured bacterium. RNAcentral's name for it is "partial 16S ribosomal RNA". It matches the Rfam family "Bacterial small subunit ribosomal RNA", at positions 524 to 767 of the family's 1533-position model. The record is from RNAcentral.